GGAGCGGCUGCCGAACCGGUUGUCGGUCGCGCUGUCGACGCUGCGGGCGGUGCUCGACCCGACCCGCCGGUUCGAGCCGGACCGCUACG
RNAcentral lists this transfer RNA (89 nucleotides) under Virgisporangium aurantiacum. RNAcentral's name for it is "tRNA-Asp". The record is from RNAcentral. Lineage: Bacteria; Bacillati; Actinomycetota; Actinomycetes; Micromonosporales; Micromonosporaceae.